CUCUCUUUCACACUUAAACCCUAACCUUUUAAGCCAUGUCUUAGUCAUCUUUAAGCUCCACCUAUUACCCAAUUGAAAGAUAAUGGAUUAGCAAAAGAGGAGUGUUUGUCGGUCUCGUUGUAACAUCUACAUCCAAACACUUUGUGUUGUGUGAGUGGUGACUCCAACCAAAAUCAAAGAGAAUGAGUAAAUGUAAUCGCCGCCAAGAUUAGUGAAACAAGAAGAGGUGAUCACUUCCUUAUUAGUGAGAAGAUAUAGCGCUGACCGCUACCUUAUUAGUGAGACGAUUGUAGUAAUCUCUUUUGCAUUGUUACAAAAAAUUACGGUGAUCUCUACCCUCUUAGCUAGAGAGACGUUUGCAAAUUUAAUCAUUGUUAGGGCCUAGUUUUAACUUGUUAUAGAUCUAAUAUCUUGAGACGUAUUCUGGAUCAAAUAUCCUUGAUGUGUAUUACGAGACCUCAGAGGAUCAAGAAUCCUUAGUGUUUGCUAUGGUUAAGGAGUUGCACGUGUUCAUUAAACAACGGUCAUGGGGCGAGGACGGAUUGAUCAAGUUAUAACCACACACUACUGUCAUACGAGCUCUGCUAAAACAUUGUACCAAGCUUGAUCGAUUUCCGAAGUUGUAUUAUACAUUGUUGCUUGAUAGAAAUUGGUGGUAGAUAGUUUUCACCACCCGAAGUUUUUAUGUCGGCGAUCUACUAGUGAUCAAGGGCUU
Molecule: long non-coding RNA, 715 nt
Filed under: Helianthus annuus (common sunflower)
Lineage: Eukaryota; Viridiplantae; Streptophyta; Magnoliopsida; Asterales; Asteraceae
Description: hypothetical non coding rna
Source: RNAcentral